GACGAACGCUGGCGGCGUGCCUAAUACAUGCAAGUCGAACGCUUCUUUCCUCCCGAGUGCUUGCACUCAAUUGGAAAGAGGAGUGGCGGACGGGUGAGUAACACGUGGGUAACCUACCCAUCAGAGGGGGAUAACACUUGGAAACAGGUGCUAAUACCUCAUAACAGUUUAUGCCGCAUGGCAUAAGAGUGAAAGGCGCUUUCGGGUGUCGCUGAUGGAUGGACCCGCGGUGCAUUAGCUAGUUGGUGAGGUAACGGCUCACCAAGGCCACGAUGCAUAGCCGACCUGAGAGGGUGAUCGGCCACACUGGGACUGAGACACGGCCCAGACUCCUACGGGAGGCAGCAGUAGGGAAUCUUCGGCAAUGGACGAAAGUCUGACCGAGCAACGCCGCGUGAGUGAAGAAGGUUUUCGGAUCGUAAAACUCUGUUGUUAGAGAAGAACAAGGACGUUAGUAACUGAACGUCCCCUGACGGUAUCUAACCAGAAAGCCACGGCUAACUACGUG
Molecule: ribosomal RNA, 508 nt
Filed under: uncultured bacterium
Lineage: Bacteria
Description: partial 16S ribosomal RNA
Rfam family: Bacterial small subunit ribosomal RNA
Source: RNAcentral